Mustela erminea (ermine) is the source of this 423-nucleotide long non-coding RNA. RefSeq lists it as uncharacterized. The record is from RefSeq and is a predicted model, not a curated record. NCBI's taxonomy places the organism in Eukaryota, Metazoa, Chordata, Mammalia, Carnivora, Mustelidae. The transcript has 3 exons.
UAUAAGGACACAUGUGGAAACCCCCAAACUGCACAUCUAAAAGCAAGGACAACAAUGAAUGCUUCAGGAAGCCGUAUGAACGCAGCAGAUUUUGACUCAAGAUGGCAAAUGUAGGAAGGUCCUGCCUCCGCCUCCUCCCAUAGACACAUUGAAAUUACAGCUGUAUAUGGAACAAUUUCCUCUGGGGAAAAAAAAAUCUAGAAACUGGCUGAGGAACCACUUCACAUCAAGCAAGUAAGAGGGAAUUCCAUCAAGAUUUACUCAGGGGACCAUGUUUGCACUGGUUGGUGAUCUCAGUCUAUGUUCUCAUGAAUGCUUGAUCAUAAUGAUCGUAAUGACAUUUCUGGGGGAAGUCUCAGUGGAAAGAAGAUAAAUAAAGAUAAGAAAAUAUAAGGAAGUCAAGAAAUGUAUAGCUACAGACAA